ACAAUAAAAGCUUUGAGAAGCAAGAAGAAGGUUGGUUAGUGUUUUGGAGUCGAAUAUGACUUGAUGUCAUGUGUAUGUUUGAGUAUAACAACUUAAACAGCAACUCGAUCUUAAAAGCCUAAGUAGUGUAUCCUUGUUAGAAGACACAAAGCCAAAGACUCAUAUGGACUUUGGCUAAACCAUGAAAGCUUUGAGAAGCAAGAAGAAGGUUGGUUAGUGUUUUGGAGUCUAAUAUGACUUGAUGUCAUAUGUAUGAUUGAGUCUAAGAACUUAAAUCGCAACCCGAUCUUAUAAGCGUAAGUAGUGUUUCCUUGUUAGAAGAUACAAAGCCAUAGACUCAUACGGACUUUGGCUACACCGUGU
RNAcentral lists this small RNA (363 nucleotides) under Arabidopsis thaliana (thale cress). Its description in RNAcentral is "ATSL268020". Lineage: Eukaryota; Viridiplantae; Streptophyta; Magnoliopsida; Brassicales; Brassicaceae. The record is from RNAcentral.